AAGUCGUAACAAGGUUUCCGUAGGUGAACCUGCGGAAGGAUCAUUACUGAAUUGUCAACACGAGUUGUUGCUGGUCCUCAAUGGGGGCAUGUGCACACUCUGUUUACACAUCCACUCACACCUGUGCACCCUCUGUAGUUCUGUGGCUUGGGGGGCUCUGUCCUCCUGCUGUGGUUCUAUAUCUUUACACACGCUCUGUAAUAAAGUCUCAUGGAAUGUAUACCGCGUUUAACGCAAUACAAUACAACUUUCAGCAACGGAUCUCUUGGCUCUCGCAUCGAUGAAGAACGCAGCGAAAUGCGAUAAGUAAUGUGAAUUGCAGAAUUCAGUGAAUCAUCGAAUCUUUGAACGCACCUUGCGCCCUUUGGCUAUUCCGAAGGGCAUGCCUGUUUGAGUAUCAUGAACACCUCAACUCUUCAUGGUUUUCCAUGAUGGGCUUGGACUUUGGGGGUCUUGCUGGCCUGUGGUCAGCUCCUCUCAAAUGAAUCAGCUUUCCAGUGUUUGGCAGCAUCACGGGUGUGAUAACUAUCUACGCUUGUGGUUUUCUGCCAGGUAAUCCUCAGUGAUGGGGAUUUGCUGGGGCUCAUAAACGUCUCUCCUCAGUGAAGACAGCUUU
Molecule: ribosomal RNA, 616 nt
Filed under: uncultured Tomentella
Lineage: Eukaryota; Fungi; Basidiomycota; Agaricomycetes; Thelephorales; Thelephoraceae
Description: eukaryotic LSU rRNA
Rfam family: 5.8S ribosomal RNA (bases 246-400)
Source: RNAcentral